Non-coding RNA from Nothobranchius furzeri (turquoise killifish), 1006 nucleotides. NCBI's taxonomy places the organism in Eukaryota, Metazoa, Chordata, Actinopteri, Cyprinodontiformes, Nothobranchiidae. The record is from RefSeq and is a predicted model, not a curated record.
CAGCCCGACAGAAACGUUUGAAAAGCCCCCCGCUGUCUCUUCUUUAGUUCCUCUUCAUUUUUUUUUACGUUUUGCCGCACCCGAAAGCAUUGUGAAAGUUAGCCCACUCAGAAACACCUGCUAGCGUUGUUGUGUCCCGCUCUGACUCUGACCGCUUGUCUGACGUCCUUCAUUGGGUGGCGCCUUAAUGUGACGUAGCCAAUGAAACGGUCUAUGGUUAAGAUAAACAUUGUCACUAUUUUUAAUUAAUUAAUUAAUAUUGAAAUAAAUUGUAGAUAGGAGUCUUAUCUACAAAUUCUAUCAUAGGACAUUUGUACAUUUAAUUUUUAAUUUAUUUAUUUUUAAUUUUGUCCCUCUGUCUGGGCCCCAUCCAGCCAAUCAGGCCCUAGGCACGUGCCUACUUUGCCUUUGCGUUAAUCCGGCUCUGCGGGUAUGUCUAUAAAAGUUAAACGUUUGAACUGAGACUUGUCACGGUCUGGGGGAGUCAUCUUUCUCUGAUUUACUUUUUGAGCUUCCUUUCCUCUGCAGGUGGGCGUGUCCGGUUGUGGGGAAGUUGCUAGCAGCUGCAAGCAAUCCACUCAUCACCUGCCAGGGGAUAUUUAAGCACCUGAGAGGCGGCUUCACUUUGCUGGAUGAUUAACUCUACUUGGACAUCCUGUUACAAUAACUACCUGGUCAACCUGCCAUUCGCCUCUCAGCGUCCUCCCAUGGUCUCCCCCACGCCGGCUCCCCACCUUCCUCCUGGAUCUCCUGCUCAAUAAUUGCUCAGCUCCCUCCUCGCCUGGACUCUCAGCUUCCUCUAACUCAGUAAGCCAUCUGCUUCACCCCCAGACCAGACAACCAACCUCUCCCGAACAUUCUAACUGAACCUUCAGACCACUCCCCCCACCGGAUCCCAGCAGUCCAGCCUGACAUUUUGUUCCUGCCAUUUCUCCUUUAUAAUAAAUCAUUAUUUAACUCUAAUUCUGACUUGUGGAUUGAUUCUGUAUGUCGUGGGUUAGGCAUA